This 387-nucleotide long non-coding RNA is filed under the name Oryza brachyantha (malo sina). RNAcentral's name for it is "long non-coding RNA (OBRA_LNC003004)". Lineage: Eukaryota; Viridiplantae; Streptophyta; Magnoliopsida; Poales; Poaceae. The record is from RNAcentral.
AAUCCGGAUUCAGGACUGUGCGAACCUCCUUCAGUGAACUCUACACUGUAGAAUCCUUGUUCCAUGUGGGCAAACCUGAGUGGAUCACUACAUGUUACUGCGCUUGUUAUUACCAACCAUGUCACCAAGAACGGUUAAUAACCCUUUUUGAUGAUCUACCGAUGGAGCGCUGCAUAGUGACAUGGUUACGAUCGGGCUGCGAUUCAUUUAGAUAUAGCACUAUUGUGAAGAACGUGUGCAAACAUGAAGUGCUGAAUUUGAUGAAUGAGUAAGCUGCAGAGAGAAAUGACAAGUAUGCACAAUAUAUGUCCAUUAGUGAUGUGAUUGAAUUGUGAGUUCCUUUGUUAAUCAAGGUAUAAUGCAUUGUCAUUUGUAAAUUGAUGGUUU